CGGGACGUAGCGCAGCCGGUAGCGCACACGUCUGGGGGGCGUGUGGUCGCUGGUUCGAAUCCAGUCGUCCCGA
This 73-nucleotide transfer RNA is filed under the name Chitinophagaceae bacterium. RNAcentral's name for it is "tRNA-Pro". It matches the Rfam family "tRNA". From Rfam's summary of the family: Transfer RNA (tRNA) molecules are approximately 80 nucleotides in length. Their secondary structure includes four short double-helical elements and three loops (D, anti-codon, and T loops). The record is from RNAcentral. Lineage: Bacteria; Pseudomonadati; Bacteroidota; Chitinophagia; Chitinophagales; Chitinophagaceae.